Molecule: ribosomal RNA, 466 nt
Filed under: uncultured bacterium
Lineage: Bacteria
Description: partial 16S ribosomal RNA
Rfam family: Bacterial small subunit ribosomal RNA
Source: RNAcentral
GAUGAACGCUGGCGGCGUGCUUAACACAUGCAAGUCGAACGGAAAGGCUCCUGCUUGCCGGGGUACUCGAGUGGCGAACGGGUGAGUAACACGUGGGUGAACUGCCCUGCACUUCGGGAUAAGACUGGGAAACUGGGUCUAAUACCGGAUAGGACGAUGUUUUGGAUGCCAUUGUGGAAAGUUUUUGCGGUGUGGGAUGAGCUCGCGGCCUAUCCGCUCGUUGGUGGGGUAAUGGUCUACCAACGCGUUGACGGGUAGCCGGCGUGAGAGGGAGUACGGCGACAUUGGGACUGAGAUACGGCCCAGACGCGUACGGGAGGCAGCAGUGGGGAAUAUUGCGCAAUGGGCGCAAGCCUGAUGCAGCGACGCCGCGUGGGGGAUGACGGCCUUCGGGUUGUAAACUCCUUUCGCUAGGGACGAAGCGCAAGUGACGGUACCUGGUGAAGAAGCACCGGCUAACUACGUG